UCUUGCUCUCUCGCCCAGGCUGGAGUGCAGUGGCGCGAUCUCCGAUGACUGCAACCUCCCUCUCUCGGGAUCAAGCGAUUUGCCUGCCUCACCCUCAGAGUAGCUGAGAUUACAGGCGUGCAGCACCACAUCCGGCUAAUUUUUAGUAGAGACGGGGGUUUCACCAUGUUGGGCACGCUGGUCUCGAACUCCUGACCUCAAAUGAUCCACCCGCCUCGGCCUCCCAAAGUGCUGGGAUUACAGGCGUGAGCCACCGCGCCUGGAUCCUUCUUUCGCUCUUCCCGUCUCUGCGAAUCCCGACCCAUCCUCUACUUUGCCAUGUGUUUAUGGGUUUCCUUCAUUCUUUCCUCUCAGUUUUUGUAAUUCACUCUCAGCCCCUCUCUGUUUCCUGAUCCCUUUGGCCCACACAUUCACAGGAGGGUUUGGAGUAAGACACCUGGAUCCUGGAGGAGCACAUUUUCCAGCGGGUGGAGCUGGGCAGGCAAGAACACCGGGUGUCACAGGACAGGCCCCGGGCACCUCCCCAACGCGGGCGCAGGGGAAGCGGUGACUGCGAAGGGGAGGCCUGGGGAGCAGCAGGGCCCGGCACGAGGAGGAGGGAGGUGGGGGGCGACGGCGCCUUAGGACAGGGUAGGGUCUGCAGGAGCCUAGGACCAGGCGGAGGACGCGGUCUGCGGCGCUGCGCUCCAGGGCCGACGACGGAGAGGCUGGGAGGCGCUCAGGACGGGAAUCCACCUCGCAGACACUCUCUACAGGGCAAGUUCAUCCAACUAUGUGCUUCGAGCUCCAGAGGGGAAUCUCACUUGCCAGGAGGUUACCUCGAGAAACAGCAAUCAAUCUACAACCCAAAGUCCUGCUACAAAACUCUCUCCCACCCGGAGAGUUUCAGCCACUUUUACAAC
This 902-nucleotide long non-coding RNA is filed under the name Homo sapiens (human). RNAcentral describes it as "HSALNT0262000". Lineage: Eukaryota; Metazoa; Chordata; Mammalia; Primates; Hominidae. The record is from RNAcentral.